Molecule: long non-coding RNA, 1801 nt
Organism: Camelina sativa (false flax)
Lineage: Eukaryota; Viridiplantae; Streptophyta; Magnoliopsida; Brassicales; Brassicaceae
Source: RefSeq, a predicted model, not a curated record
UUACUAAUGGUUUAGUUGGUUUAGUGAUGAUUUCUGUUUGAUUUUGGUUUUAUGAGAGUUCAUUUUGUCUUUGUUUUGUGAUGUUCCGGUAGUUUACAAUGGUUGAAUAUUAGCAAAAAUGUUCUGUUAACAUAGUGGUAAUAGUUAAAUAUAUAACGAAUUAUAUAUGUAAUGGUUUAGUUGGUUUAGUGAUGAUUUCGGUUUUAUGAGAGUUCAUUUUGUCUUUGUUUUCUGACCUAGUUCUGGAGACUGGAAGACCUUCGUUGAUCGAUCCAACGCCUUAAUCCAAUGGGUUAUAGGAACCGCUUUACUCUUUGUCCCAGCUAGUUACCUUAUCCAAGGAGGAGGAGAAUAUAAAGGGGAUGAUAAGAAGCGGCUUAAUCUUGUCACGGCUUUGUUUGAAGAAGUCAAGUCCAGGUUCCCAGAUUUCUUCCUCCCUACGAUGAUGGGAUACAUAGGUUUCUAUGUUGGGUCCUUGUGGUUCAAAAAACCAAAGUUUAAGAAGACGUUCGAAGUUUUGGGCAUUAUUUCAGGAUAUGUUUACAUUGUCGAGAUCCUCUACUAUGUUGGCUUGGAAGCCUCCGUGUACGCUGCCGUCGGCUUUGGUAUCAUCUUUUUCGUGUUGAUCGUUGCAAAGACCAUUGAGUAUUUCUGCUAGACCAGUCUGUAUCUUCUUUUUUAUAAUAAGUAUAUGUAUUUCCUUUUGUUAAACAUUAUUCGUCUGUGUGCAAAACUUUUACGUCUUCAAAACAACUAGAAAAGUUUCUUUGGAUUUUGAACCUCUGUCAUAUUUAAUGAAAUUGCACAAGGUUUUUUUUAUAUAUAUUAGGAUCUCUAUGGAAACUCAGAUGAUUGUUUGUUGGAUUAAUUUAAUUUGGAUAUCACACACCACACACACUGAUGCAAGAUAUGUGGAUUCGAUAUUUAUUUAUUUUUGGGGUUAAUGAAAGAUCCAACUCUGUUUCAUGCUUGCUUAUGGCACAUAGUAAAUGAAACGUGUAUAUUGGAAAGCAAUUUAAUUUCACUGCUCUUGGAACUAGAACUAGAGUUUGGAACUGAGACUGGUCAGAGGUAUUGCUCAAUCAGGUUGGAAAACAGAAUUUCUAGCCAAACAUGCUUGCUAAUGAAGUCUUUUUGUUUUUGUUCCACAGUGCUGCAAUGAUGGGUCUUAUGUUACACACUAAAGCAAAAAGUUUAAUAGAAAUGGAAAUGUAUUCCGAUGCAGUUGAAGUGCUUGAUAUGGCAUAGGGUCAAUUUGAAGAAGGUUUAAAGGUAUUUCAACAGCAGGUCAAUGAUAACCCCCGGGAUUUUCGACCUUACCUUUGCCAGGGCAUAGUCUAUAGCUUGAUGGAGAAAAAGGAAGAAACAGCUCAACAGUUUGAGAUAUAUUGGAGUCUUGUACCUAAAGAAUUCCCACAAAAGGGAUUUCUCGACGAUGUUGCAUUGACUGCUCAAGCCAAAUCCCUAGAACGACUUCAAAACACAUUCAAAGCUAAAUUUGCUCAGGGGAAAUAAAUCAUGAAUAGAUAAUUCCGAAUAUCCAGUUUCAGUGGUCAACGAUUCAAGGAAUCUCUUGUUCUCAAGACUGAUGAGCCUCUGUUUGUGGACUUUUUGGGCACCAUAAUGUGUAUGGUGUUAGAAGCAUCCCGACCAUCAUAUGAUCUUUGUCAAGGGUGAGAAGAAGGAUAUCACUAAUCAUUGGUGCAUGCAGUGUCUAAUUUACCACAUUAGCAACGAACGAGCAUCGUCAAAUUCUUUUAAUGUAGUGAUCACUGUUAAAAAGUCUCUCUUUUACUCUGUA